RNAcentral lists this ribosomal RNA (253 nucleotides) under uncultured bacterium. Its description in RNAcentral is "partial 16S ribosomal RNA". It matches the Rfam family "Bacterial small subunit ribosomal RNA", at positions 524 to 776 of the family's 1533-position model. The record is from RNAcentral.
UACGGGGGGGGCAAGCGUUGUUCGGAAUUACUGGGCGUAAAGGGCUCGUAGGCGGCCAACUAAGUCAGACGUGAAAUCCCUCGGCUUAACCGGGGAACUGCAUCUGAUACUGGAUGACUUGAGUUUGGGAGAGGGAUGCGGAAUUCCAGGUGUAGCGGUGAAAUGCGUAGAUAUCUGGAGGAACACCGGUGGCGAAGGCGGCAUCCUGGACCAACACUGACGCUGAGGAGCGAAAGCCAGGGGAGCAAACGGG